Molecule: ribosomal RNA, 498 nt
Filed under: uncultured bacterium
Lineage: Bacteria
Description: partial 16S ribosomal RNA
Rfam family: Bacterial small subunit ribosomal RNA
Source: RNAcentral
AUUGAACGCUGGCGGCAUGCCUUACACAUGCAAGUCGAACGGUAACAGGUCUUCGGAUGCUGACGGGUGGCGAACGGGUGAGUAAUACAUCGGAACGUGCCUAGUAGUGGGGGAUAACUACUCGAAAGAGUGGCUAAUACCGCAUGAGAUCUACGGAUGAAAGCAGGGGAUCGCAAGACCUUGUGCUACUAGAGCGGCCGAUGGCAGAUUAGGUAGUUGGUGGGAUAAAAGCUUACCAAGCCGACGAUCUGUAGCUGGUCUGAGAGGACGAUCAGCCACACUGGGACUGAGACGCGGCCCAGACUCCUACGGGAGGCAGCAGUGGGGAAUUUUGGACAAUGGGCGCAAGCCUGAUCCAGCAAUGCCGCGUGCAGGAUGAAGGCCUUCGGGUUGUAAACUGCUUUUGUACGGAACGAAAAGCCCCGGGUUAAUACCCUGGGGUCAUGACGGUACCGUAAGAAUAAGCACCGGCUAACUACGUGCCAGCAGCCGCGGUAA